Molecule: long non-coding RNA, 314 nt
Filed under: Sinocyclocheilus grahami
Lineage: Eukaryota; Metazoa; Chordata; Actinopteri; Cypriniformes; Cyprinidae
Description: lncRNA (ENSSGRG00000055445.1)
Source: RNAcentral
AUGACUUUCCUGGCCUGCUGAGGUGAGCGAGAGGAGGUCUGGAGGAGCCGGAGGAGUCUCUGUCUGUGUCUGUUUACAGGCCGUGAGCGUGAUCAGUUUACAGUGGGCCACUCGCAGACGCCAGCACAGUGGCAGCGGCCGCGCUCUAAUGAGAGCUGACAGACGUGACAGAAAGAAAAUGUCACAGCAGAGCUGUGAAAAUAAACCGCUGCACAUGAGAAACCUAAGCUCUGAGCACCUGCUUUCUGACUCAGGUACAUUUAAUCACCUUUAAUCCCAUUAUGUUCCUGACCAAAGACUGAAACCUGGGGAUC